Molecule: ribosomal RNA, 504 nt
Filed under: uncultured bacterium
Lineage: Bacteria
Description: partial 16S ribosomal RNA
Rfam family: Bacterial small subunit ribosomal RNA
Source: RNAcentral
AUUGAACGCUGGCGGCAUGCCUUACACAUGCAAGUCGAACGGCAGCAUGGAGAGCUUGCUCUCUGAUGGCGAGUGGCGAACGGGUGAGUAAAGCAUCGGAACGUACCGUGUAGUGGGGGAUAACGUAGCGAAAGUUACGCUAAUACCGCAUACUCACCGAGGUGGAAAGCAGGGGAUCGUAAGACCCUGCGCUAUACGAGCGGCCGAUGUCAGAUUAGCUAGCUGGUAGGGUAAAGGCCUACCAAGGCGACGAUCGGUAGCGGGUCUGAGAGGAUGAUCCGCCACACUGGGACUGAGACACGGCCCAGACUCCUACGGGAGGCAGCAGUGGGGAAUUUUGGACAAUGGGGGCAACCCUGAUCCAGCCAUGCCGCGUGAGUGAAGAAGGCCUUCGGGUUGUAAAGCUCUUUCGGCCGGGAAGAAAUCGCACAGGCUAAUACCCUGUGUGGAUGACGGUACCGGCAUAAGAAGCACCGGCUAACUACGUGCCAGCCGCCGCAGUAA